AGUUAACAUCAGUAAACAAAAUGUUUUGAAAGCAUUUUAAAGAGGUUAAAUUCCUCUAUUAACUU
This 65-nucleotide transfer RNA is filed under the name Archimandrita tessellata. RNAcentral's name for it is "tRNA-Ser". The record is from RNAcentral. Lineage: Eukaryota; Metazoa; Arthropoda; Insecta; Blattodea; Blaberidae.